GACGAACGCUGGCGGCGCGCUUAACACAUGCCAGUCGAACGGAAAGGCCUGCUUUCCCUUGUGGAUUGCGGGUACUCGAGUGGCGAACGGGUGAGUAACACGUGAGUGAUCUGCCCCCAACUUGGGUAUAAGCCUGGGAAACUGGGUCUAAUUCCCGAUAGGACUGCAGGGUGGUGCCUGUGGUGGAAAACGAUUUUCUAGUGGUUGGGGAUGAGCUCGCGGCCUAUCAGCUUGUUGGUGGGGUAAUGGCCUACCAAGGCGGCGACGGGUAGCCGGCCUGAGAGGGUGGACGGCCACAUUGGGACUGAGAUACGGCCCAGACUCCUACGGGAGGCAGCAGUGGGGAAUAUUGGACAAUGGGCGGAAGCCUGAUGCAGCGACGCCGCGUGGGGGAUGACGGCCUUCGGGUUGUAAACUCCUUUCGACCGCGAGGAAGCCACCUGGUUGGAAGGGUGGUGACGGUAGUGGUAGAAGAAGCACCGGCUAACUACGUG
RNAcentral lists this ribosomal RNA (494 nucleotides) under uncultured bacterium. RNAcentral's name for it is "partial 16S ribosomal RNA". It matches the Rfam family "Bacterial small subunit ribosomal RNA", at positions 28 to 507 of the family's 1533-position model. The record is from RNAcentral.